Long non-coding RNA from Seriola aureovittata, 544 nucleotides. RefSeq lists it as uncharacterized. The transcript is spliced from 4 exons. NCBI's taxonomy places the organism in Eukaryota, Metazoa, Chordata, Actinopteri, Carangiformes, Carangidae. The record is from RefSeq and is a predicted model, not a curated record.
GCCAGUGAGGAAACGGUUUUGCUUACUGCGACUCUGCGUCUCCAUUGGCCAUGGUUUAACGUGGAGUUUGGACACGCUGCACGAGAACACUACACUCAUGAUAAGGCGUAAUGACUGAGUGAACAAGGGAGGGAUUUCAGCCACUGAAAAACAAACUGCAGCUACACUGAAUGCCUGAUUUGAACAUUUUACCAGGAAAGGGCUAACAUGCCUGGGGCAGUAACCUUCACGGACCGGCCGCUAGCCCAGAUGGAACUGCUUCUGUUGUGGUUCCUUUUCAGAGGAGUUGUGUUAGAGGACUCAUUCAGACAUAUAGGUUUUAUGCAAUUGAAAGUCUUUGGGGAGUGUCCCAGCAGCUUAUGUAUCAUUUGAACGUCCCUGACCGGUUGAUCAGCAGUUUAAGCUAAUGAACUUGAGUUUACUGACCAGACAGAUGCGGCUGAUUAAUUCAGAGCCGGACGGGCGGCUCUGGCCCUUUCCAUUUCUCUCCGGCGAGAGGGGAGGACGGCUGGACAUCUCAUCCCAUCCCACUGAUUCAUCUCAC